GCAGUCGAACGAGAACGGGUUAAAGUUUACUUUAACUGUCAGCUAAGUGGCGCACGGGUGAGUAAUGUAUAGUUAACCUGCCCUCGAGAAAGGAAUAACAGUUGGAAACGACUGCUAAUGCCCUAUAUGCCUUUAAGACAUAAGUCUACAAGGGAAAUGCUUUUGUGCUCGAGGAUGGGACUGUAUGGUAUCAGAUAGUUGGUGAGGUAAUGGCUCACCAAGUCAAUGACGCCUAACUGGUUUGAGAGGAUGAUCAGUCACACUGGAACUGAGACACGGUCCAGACUCCUACGGGAGGCAGCAGUGGGGAAUAUUGCACAAUGGAGGAAACUCUGAUGCAGCAACGCCGCGUGGAGGAUGACACUUUUCGGAGCGUAAACUCCUUUUAUAUAGGAAGAUAAUGACGGUACUAUAUGAAUAAGCGCCGGCUAACUCCGUGCCAGCAGCCGCGGUAAUACGGAGGGCGCAAGCGUUACUCGGAAUCACUGGGCGUAAAGAGCGUGUAGGCGGAUAGAUAAGUCAGAAGUGAAAUCCUAUAGCUCAACUAUAGAACUGCUUUUGAAACUGUCUAUCUAGAAUAUGGGAGAGGUAGAUGGAAUUUCUGGUGUAGGGGUAAAAUCCGUAGAGAUCAGAAGGAAUACCGAUUGCGAAGGCGAUCUACUGGAACAUUAUUGACGCUGAGACGCGAAAGCGUGGGGAGCAAACAGGAUUAGAUACCCUGGUAGUCCACGCCCUAAACGAUGUACACUAGUUGUUGCUAUGCUAGACAUAGCAGUAAUGCAGUUAACACAUUAAGUGUACCGCCUGGGG
This 810-nucleotide ribosomal RNA is filed under the name Halarcobacter ebronensis. RNAcentral's name for it is "bacterial SSU rRNA". It matches the Rfam family "Bacterial small subunit ribosomal RNA", at positions 57 to 878 of the family's 1533-position model. The record is from RNAcentral. Lineage: Bacteria; Pseudomonadati; Campylobacterota; Epsilonproteobacteria; Campylobacterales; Arcobacteraceae.